UGGGGAAUAUUGGGGCAAUGGACGAAAGUCUGACCCAGCGACGCCGCGUGAGGGAAGAAGGUCUUCGGAUUGUAAACCUUAGUCAACAGGGAAGAAGAAAGUGACGGUACCUGUGGAGGAAGCCACGGCUAACUACGUGCCAGCAGCCGCGGUAAUACGUAGGUGGCAAGCGUUAUCCGGAUUUACUGGGUGUAAAGGGCGCGUAGGCGGGGAUGCAAGUCAGAUGUGAAAUCUAUGGGCUCAACCCAUAAACUGCAUUUGAAACUGUAUCUCUUGAGUGUCGGAGAGGUAGAUGGAAUUCCUAGUGUAGCGGUGAAAUGCGUAGAUAUUAGGAGGAACACCAGUGGCGAAGGCGAUCUACUGGACGAUAACUGACGCUGAGGCGCGAAAGCGUGGGGA
This 399-nucleotide ribosomal RNA is filed under the name uncultured Oscillospiraceae bacterium. RNAcentral describes it as "bacterial SSU rRNA". It matches the Rfam family "Bacterial small subunit ribosomal RNA", at positions 355 to 767 of the family's 1533-position model. The record is from RNAcentral. Lineage: Bacteria; Bacillati; Bacillota; Clostridia; Eubacteriales; Oscillospiraceae.